RNAcentral lists this ribosomal RNA (513 nucleotides) under uncultured bacterium. RNAcentral's name for it is "partial 16S ribosomal RNA". It matches the Rfam family "Bacterial small subunit ribosomal RNA", at positions 29 to 523 of the family's 1533-position model. The record is from RNAcentral.
AACGAACGCUGGCGGCGUGCCUAACACAUGCAAGUCGAGCGCGAAAAGGGCAACCUGAGUAGAGCGGCGCACGGGUGCGUAACACGUGGGUAAUCUGCCUUAGAGUCGAGGAUAACCUUCCGAAAGGUUGGCUAAUACUCGGUAAGCUUACGGUGUCUUCGGACGCUGUGGGAAAAGUAGGCCUCUGUUUACAAGCUUACGCUCUGAGAUGAGCCCGCGGCCCAUCAGCUGGUUGGCGGUGUAACGGACCACCCAGGCAACGACGGGUAGCUGGUCGAUGAGGACGAACAGCCACACUGGAACUGAGACACGGUCCAGACGCCUACGGGGGGCAGCAGUGGAGAAUUUUCCACAAUGGGCGAAAGCCUGAUGGAGCUACGAAGCGUGUGUGAUGAAGGUUUUCGGAUCGUAAAGCACUGUCGACCGGGACGAAAAACCUCUGGCUAACAUCCAGGGGCCUGACGGUACCGGGAGAAGAAGCACCGGCUAACUCUGUGCCAGCAGCCGCCGCAG